Long non-coding RNA from Gallus gallus (chicken), 937 nucleotides. The record is from Ensembl. NCBI's taxonomy places the organism in Eukaryota, Metazoa, Chordata, Aves, Galliformes, Phasianidae.
GAUUGAUUAUACAGCAGCAGAAGGAGCUCAGACUCACAGCUGAGAGAACGUCAGGGUGAGAGAGAGCACAAGCAAGGGAGACUGUACAUACUGUAGCAUCAGUAUGUGACUGCUGGUGUCUGACAACACCGGUAUCUUGCUCUUGAAGUGGACAACUUGCUGAGCUACCUUUUAGCAUUUGCAAGAGGAUACCAGCUCUUAACCAGUACAACUGAUAACAGACUGGACCUUGGAAUAGUUAAUUUUACUUAUAAUUGCAUCUCUUAUUGCUAUGCAUCUCUGAAGAAGCAGCUUAUUACAGAAGACAAUUCAUCCUGUCCCUGUAGUUCACAUAGCACUGAUAAGACGGAGUUUCAUCUUCCAGCUCUUCAACUUUCCAGGUACAGUUGUGCUGCCAGAAGGACAGUGCAUGGAAAAAACACUUCUGAGUGGUUUUCAGAAGCAGCAGCUUUUUCAUAAUUCCUUUAGGCAAUGGAAGACAAUGUUGUCCCCUUGGAACCUUCUCUUCUUCACCUCCCUCAACCUUUCUUCAUGGGACAAGAGUUCCAGCCCUCUGAUCAUCUUUAUGGUCCUCCUCUGAACACAUUCCAGCAGCUCUGCAUCCUUCCUGUACUGGGGGCCCCAAGACUGGAUGCAGUACUCCAGAUGGGGCUUCACAAGUGCAGAGCAGAAGGGGACAAUCUCCUGCCUUGCCCUGCUGGCCACCCCUCUUUGGAUGUACCUCAGAAUAUGUUUGGGCCUCUGAGCUGCAAGCACACACUGCUGGUGCAUGUUGGUACUACUUUAAAUAAGCAGAAAUAAUAAAGUAACAAUAAUGACGUUAUGACUUAUUAUUCAUGUUUGUUGAAGGGCUUUAGACAGUGGCUGAAUGAAGAAUUCUGUAAGUAAGAUAUCCCAACCGUCUGAGAUGCAUCUUAACCUACCACUACUAUAAAAG